RNAcentral lists this ribosomal RNA (253 nucleotides) under uncultured bacterium. RNAcentral's name for it is "partial 16S ribosomal RNA". It matches the Rfam family "Bacterial small subunit ribosomal RNA", at positions 524 to 776 of the family's 1533-position model. The record is from RNAcentral.
UACAGAGGUCCCAAGCGUUGUUCGGAUUCACUGGGCGUAAAGGGUGCGUAGGUGGUCGGGUAAGUCUGAUGUGAAAUCUCCGAGCUUAACUCGGAAAUGGCAUUGGAUACUAUUCGGCUAGAGGGUUUGAGGGGGGACUGGAAUACUUGGUGUAGCAGUGAAAUGCGUAGAUAUCAAGUGGAACACCAGUGGCGAAGGCGGGUCCCUGGAAAACUCCUGACACUGAGGCACGAAAGCUAGGGGAGCAAACAGG